RNAcentral lists this unclassified non-coding RNA (2454 nucleotides) under Dermacentor andersoni. Its description in RNAcentral is "e3 SUMO-protein ligase PIAS2-like". The record is from RNAcentral. Lineage: Eukaryota; Metazoa; Arthropoda; Arachnida; Ixodida; Ixodidae.
GCUUGUGCACGACCAAGGAACGCGCUGCGUGCUGAGCGACGUGCGUCAACGCUCCUUGCGCGGACCAGUAGCGGAGUGCUCCGCGUACUACAGAGCGUUUAGGCCUAGCAUCGCGUCCGCCGAAGAAUGAAGACGAACGACACGGCUGGCUCUGUGACAAGUGGUUCAGUGGGUGACCAUGCAAGAAGCGGAGCCCUCGUUCGCCCGUUGGCACAUGUCGCUUUGUGCGAUCACGGCGUUAGCGACAACCCUUUUUACGGCAAGCGGUGCCCUCCGUGCGAUCUCUUGGGUCGGUGUGGUGACAGGAUGCGUGCAGCUCGCAAAUCGCCCCAUCAUCGCAUCCGUCACGAACGCGAGCUCAGUUAUAAUCUGAACUCGACAGGCGCCGAUUGUCACGCAUUCGCACCAGUUUGGCGCCGAUUCCCGUCCUCAGCUGUGGCUGCCGCCUCGCAUGCAACAGUUGAUGCAGCCGAUCCGCGGCUCUGUGGUGCCACACCUGGCAGUGGGCUCAAGGGUCCCAGCUCGUACUUGCCUUCCAGUGCAGCCAGUCGGGCAAGCAGUCUGAUGACUGGCCACCAUGGGGCAGGGGGCGGGGCGGGGCCACCGCCUCUGCACUCUGGCGACUACUCAUCCAAGCUGCACCAUGUGGCCCCACCUCCUCCUCCACCACCGCUCAUGGGUCCUGCGGGUGCGACAGGGGCUCCUGGCACUCAGUCAUAUCCCGUCCAUCCAGAUGUGCGUUUCAAAAGGCUGCCAUUCUACGACAUCAUGGCUGAACUCCACCGACCUGCCAGUCUGAUGCCCAACAGCAACACAAGGUUUCAGGAGAACAGCUUCGUGUUCCACUUCACACCUCAACAAGUACAUGACAUAGUCUCUUCAAGGGACUACAACUUGGGAGCAAAGCAAGACUUCACAGUGCAAGUACAGCUUCGGUUUUGUCUGCUGGAAACAAGCUGUGAGCAGGAUGACAACUACCCUCCAAGCAUGUGUGUCAAAGUCAACUCUAAGGUGUGUCCACUGCCAAGCCCUAUCCCUACCAACAAGCCUGGCAUGGAGCCCAAGCGACCAAGCCGGCCGAUCAACAUUGCUAACAUGUGCCGUCUCUCCCCUACUGUGUCCAACCAUAUCUCUGUCACCUGGCUGUCCGAGUAUGGCCGGGCCUAUGCCUUGGGUGUGUACCUUGUGCGAAAGUUGACAGCAACAACUCUCCUCCAGCGGCUAAAGGCAACAGGCAUGCGGAAUCCCGACCACACACGAGCAAUGAUCAAAGAAAAGCUUCAACAUGACCCUGACUCUGAGAUUGCAACAACAAGUCUGCGUGGAUCUCUAAUCUGUCCGCUGGGCAAGAUGCGAAUGGGUAUUCCAUGCCGAGCACUAACAUGUCCACACCUACAGUGCUUUGAUGCUUCGCUUUACCUGCAAAUGAAUGAAAAGAAACCCACGUGGAUUUGCCCAGUCUGUGAUCGGCCGGCCACCUUCUCCUCAUUGGUGAUCGACGGUUUAUUCAUGGAAAUUGCCAUGAAGGCACCGAGUGAUUGCACUGAGGUUCAAUUCCACGAAGAUGGUUCCUGGUCUCCUUUGGUGCCAAAGAAGGAGACGCAUGUUAUUAACAGCCCCAGUUCCUCCGCAACAGCAUCUACCUCUAGAAGUUCAGCUCCUUCAUCAUCAUCGAGGGAUCCACCUGGUCGGCCCAGCAAGAAACCUCGGGUGGUGGUCAUAGACCUGACAGCAUGUAGCAGUGAUGAGGAAGAUGACGGUGGCCGCAGCUCGGUGCCCACGCCUGGAUCUCACAUGGGCGGGCCACCGCCGUUGGUCUCUGGUAUUUCCGGAGGUGCACACUCUCAGGGAGGCCCUCCGUCAACUCCACUUGGCGGUGCCUUGUCCCCUCCACCUGGGUCUUCGCCACCAUCUUCGUCGUCGGGCGGUACAGCACCUCUCAUCUCCCUGCCUUCGCCCUCGUCUUCUUCGUCUUCCUCGUCCUCUUCCUCGUCGUCCUCUUUCUCAAGCAUUUUGGGCCCCGCAACGGGGCCUCCACUGGGACCCUCACCGCCAUCGUCUGUUGCCCCAACUGUGCCACCCUCAGCCAGCACGACAGGAGGCUCGUCUUCACUGCACUACUCGAGUCCCCCCCUUGGCCCUCUGGGCUCUGCGAGCAGUUCAAGCAGUCGCCUCUUGCCCUCCAGUGGACUUGUGGGCUCUGCGUGGUGGAUAUAUUGACGCUAUUGUAGGCGUGUGCGGUUGUUGAUGCCAGUUGCCAGCCGCGCAUGCUUGCCGUUUCCACCCAUUUCGUGUAGGAAGAGAGCGCUGUGCCGAUCACACGAGUCGUCAAGUUCUGGCCUGCCUCCUUCCACUCUGGCCAGCAGCUCACUUUACCCAGGCAUGCCUGUGAUGGAUGCAGGCACUCCUCCCUACUACCCGCCGGUCUCCAGUCCGUACCCAGAGUACUUCACU